UGCAUCCUAGGAAGGUGCACCUUCACUGUAUCUAAAUCAUAUCUUAAAAACUAACUUAAGCCAGCAGCUCUGAUUUCAGCUGGGCUUGGGAUUCGUCCCUCCCAGGCAUCCCUGAGCUGCUCCAGGCAGAUUCAAGCCACCACCAGGGAACCUCAGGUCCCUCAGACAUGGCUGGGAGUCCAGAAGCCAGACCCUCACCGGGUUCCUCCUCGAUCCCCAAUUGCUGGUCAUGUGUGGGACAUUCUCAGCAGCAAAGGGCAGCUUUGUCUUUAAAAUCAUCAGCUGGUGUAGCUGAAUCUCUGUUUUCCAGGCAGCGCACAGAAAUAUUCCUACCUGAGGAGGGGAGUGGUAUCCAUGCUAAAAUGCCUCAAAGUUGUCCUGCGGUCACCAUCACAACAAAUGCAAAUUCGUUUGACUUCCCAGACAGGGCUUCAUCUUUAUGGGAGAAAAGACCAUCCUUGGCUUCAUUAGCAAAGAGGCACCGGGAGAAGCCAUGAGCGAGCAAGCGGCUGGUUAAGCAAGAAAGAGAAAAGCAAAGAUUGACCUAGUUUGGAUAAAAUGGGAUCUCCCCUGAACCUUUCCCAGAUGGAAAUCUCACUAAACUCGAGCCCUCUGCGGCUCAGU
Hyaena hyaena (striped hyena) is the source of this 624-nucleotide long non-coding RNA. RefSeq lists it as uncharacterized. The record is from RefSeq and is a predicted model, not a curated record. NCBI's taxonomy places the organism in Eukaryota, Metazoa, Chordata, Mammalia, Carnivora, Hyaenidae. The transcript is spliced from 4 exons.